This 329-nucleotide ribosomal RNA is filed under the name uncultured eukaryote. RNAcentral's name for it is "partial 18S ribosomal RNA". It matches the Rfam family "Eukaryotic small subunit ribosomal RNA", at positions 1470 to 1796 of the family's 1831-position model. The record is from RNAcentral.
CCCUUAGAUGUUCUGGGCCGCACGCGCGCUACACUGAUGCAUUCAACGAGUCUAAAUCCUGCUCUGAUAGGGGUGGGUAAUCUUUUGAAUGUGCAUCGUGAUUGGGAUAGAUGAUUGCAAUUUUUCAUCUUCAACGAGGAAUGCCUAGUAAACGCAAGUCAUCAGCUUGCAUUGAUUACGUCCCUGCCCUUUGUACACACCGCCCGUCGCUCCUACCGAUUGAAUGAUCCGAUGAAUAUCAUGGAUUGAGGAUGCAAGCAGGCUCGCCUGUCUUCAUCUUCGAGAAGUGAAGUAAAUCUUAUCAUUUAGAGGAAGGAGAAGUCGUAACA